GGUUAAGCGACUAAGCGUACACGGUGGAUGCCCUGGCAGUCAGAGGCGAUGAAGGGCGUGCUAAUCUGCGAUAAGCGCCGGUAAGGUGAUAUGAACCGUUAUAACCGGCGAUACCCGAAUGGGGAAACCCAGUGUGACUCGUCACACUAUCAUUAACUGAAUCCAUAGGUUAAUGAGGCGAACCGGGGGAACUGAAACAUCUAAGUACCCCGAGGAAAAGAAAUCAACCGAGAUUCCCCCAGUAGCGGCGAGCGAACGGGGAGGAGCCCAGAGCCUGAAUCAGCAUGUGUGUUAGUGGAAGCGUCUGGAAAGGCGCGCGA
This 320-nucleotide ribosomal RNA is filed under the name Salmonella enterica. Its description in RNAcentral is "partial 23S ribosomal RNA". It matches the Rfam family "Bacterial large subunit ribosomal RNA", at positions 1 to 357 of the family's 2925-position model. Lineage: Bacteria; Pseudomonadati; Pseudomonadota; Gammaproteobacteria; Enterobacterales; Enterobacteriaceae. The record is from RNAcentral.